UAAGUAAGUUGGGUAGUCGCUCUUGGGAUAGCGAUAUUCCAGGGGAGGAAAGUCCGAACACUUAGUUGAUGGGCACUCUUAAGAGUUCAUCAACAAAAGGUAGCGGGUAACGCCCGUCUGGGGAAACCCACGAGAUGCGAACAGAGACGCCGAGACCCGAAAGGGUCGAGGCGCCCUUCGAAGCCCGAAAGGGCGUAGUAGGGCGAGCUCCGACGGCAACGCCGGAGGUGAAACGGCCAAACUCUUACCCGAGUGCAAGCCUAAAUUUGGUAAGGCGCACGACCCCGAUGGUAACGUCGGGGCUAGAUAGAUGACUACACAAAGACAGAAUUCGGCUUAUAGACUUACUUAGGGC
RNAcentral lists this RNase P RNA (355 nucleotides) under bacterium. RNAcentral describes it as "RNase P RNA component class A". It matches the Rfam family "Bacterial RNase P class A". Rfam says of the family: Ribonuclease P (RNase P) is a ubiquitous endoribonuclease, found in archaea, bacteria and eukarya as well as chloroplasts and mitochondria. Its best characterised activity is the generation of mature 5'-ends of tRNAs by cleaving the 5'-leader elements of precursor-tRNAs. The record is from RNAcentral.